AUUUAAAGCAUUUUGUUAACGUAAAAGUGAGUCAAGAAAGGGUUACAAGGCCGGGUGUGGUGGCUCAUGCCUGUAAUCCCAGUACUUUGGGAGGCCGAGGCGGUCGGAUCGUGGGGUCAGGAGGUCGAGACCAGCCUGAUCAACAUGGUGAAACCCCAUAUCUACUAAAAAUACAAUACAAACAUUAGCUGAGUGUGGUGGUGGGCGCCUGUAAUCCCAGCUACUUGGGAGGCUGAGGCAGAGGUUGCAGUGAGCCGAGAUCAUGCCAUUGCACUCCAGCCUGGGUGACAGAGCGAGACUCCAUCUAAAAAAAAAAAAAAAAAAAAAAAAGGUCUGGUGCGGUGGCUCACGCCUGUAAUCCCAGCACUUCGGGAGGCCGAGGCAAGCGUAUCACGAGGUCAGGAGAUCGAGAUCAUCCUGGCUAACAGGUGAAACCCCGUCCCUACUAAAAAUACAAAAAAUUAGCUGGGCAUGGUGGCGGGCACCUGUAGUCCCAGCUACUCGGGAGGCUGAGGCAGGAGAAUGGCGUGAACUCAGGAGAAGGAGCUUGCAGUGAGCCGAGAUCACGCCACUGCACUCCAUCCUGAGCAACAGAGCGAGACUGCGUUUCAAAAAAAAAAAGAGGGUUACCAGUAAAAAAUAAGACAGACUGGGCGUAGUGGCUCACGCCUAUAAUCCCAACACUUUGGGAGGCCGAGGCGGGCGGAUCACCUGAGGUUGGGAGUUUGAGAUCAGCCUGACCAACAUGGAGAAACCCUGUUUCUACUAAAAAUACAAAAUUAGCCGGGCAUGGUGGUGCAUGCCUGUAAUCCCAGCUACUCAGGAGUCUGAGGCAGGAGAAUCGCUUGAACCUGGGAGGUGGAGAUUGCAGUGAGCCGAGGUCUAGUGCCAUUACACUCCAGCCUGGGCAACAAGAGUGAAACUCCGUCUCAGAAAAAAUAAAUAAAAAUAAAAAAUAAGAUACUUUGAUAAAAUAGAACAAUGAGAACCAGAACAGGCUCUUUGAAAUUACAAGUAAGAUUGUUCAAUGUUAUAGAUACAAUGUUUAGUGAGAAACAGAAUGCUUGUUGCCUGGUGCUGCAAAGAAAUAGCACUCAAAACAUAAAUUUAAUUCUCUCAGCAAGGCCGUUUUUACUUUCUGCAGAAAGGGUGCUCAUCACAGAUGGAACAAUGGCAAGAGCACACCUGAACAAAGGAGGGAAGCAAUUUUUAUUCCUUAGGCAGUUUGUCCCUGCUACUGUGUCCUGUCUCCGUUGGCUGGAGCCAGCCUGCACAAUCUAAACUAAAACUAGAUUAGCUAACAGUUUAAAACUUUUCUAAAUAGGUAAAAGUAGUGGAAAGACGAAGGAAAAGAGGAAGUUGCUUAUGCCAGAUAUGGAAGGAGCAUAGGCUGUAAGCUGGAACGUGACCAUGAGCAUGUCCAGCACAAAUAACUUGGUUAAGGUACAGGGACAUAGAACGUACUACGUGCCUGUGAGCAUGUUUACCAGCUACAUAGGAUAGGGCCUAACAAAGACUUACUAGCACAAAGCAAGGAGGUUUCAAGGAAGUUAGUUUAUAAAAGAAACUAUUAUUUUUUAACACUUAUGAUUUAUUCUUUAACAAGAAGGGAAACUUUGAAGAGGAACUUUUACUUUCCACAUUGAACAAAUAAGUAAGAAAAAGAAAGGGAAACUUCCCCAGGGCUGAAAGGAAAUUUUCAGGUCAUGCCAUUAUUAUCAGAAUUAAUAAGACCCAUGCAUCGUGGAAAACUGAGAACACCACGACUAAAAACAGAUGGCAGGCUGGGCGUGGUGGCUCACGCCUGUAAUCCCAGCUCUUUGGGAGGCUGAGGCAGGCAGAUCACCUGAAGUCAAGAGUUUGAGACCAGCCUGGCCGACAUUGUGAAACCUCAUCUCUAAUAAAAAUUCAAAAAUUAGCCAGGCAUGGUGGCAGCCGCCUAUAAUCCCAGCUAUUCAGGAGGCUGAGGCAGGAGAAUCGCUUGAACUCGAGAGGUAGAGGUUGCAGUGAGCUAAGAUUGUGCCACUGCACUCCAGCCUUGGGCGACAAAGCGAGACUCUGUCUCAAAAAAAAACAAACAAAAAAAAUGUCAGGGUCGGGCAUGGUGGCUCACACCUGUAAUCCCAGCUACUUGGGAGGCUGAGGUAGGAGAAUUGCUUGAACCCAGGAGGUGGAGGUUGCAGUGAGCUAAGAUUGUGCCACUGCACUCCAGCGUGGGCGACAAAGCGAGACUCUGUCUCAAAAAAAAAAAAAAAAAAAAAGAUGGCAGGGCUGGCAUGGUGGCUCACGCCUGUAAUCCCAGCACUUUGGGAGACCGAGGCAGGUGGAUCACUCUAGGUUAGGAGUUUGAGACCAGCCUGGCCAAGAUGGUGAAACCCUGUCUCUACUAAAGAUACAAAAAUUAGCCAAGUGUGGUGAUAAAUGCCUGCAAUCCCAGCUACUCAGGAGGCUGACGCAGGAGUAUCACUUGAACCUGGGAGGCAGAGGUUGCAAUGAGUCUAGAUCAUGCCACUGGACUCCAGCCUGGGCGACAGAAUGAGACUCUGUCUCAAAACAGAGCAAAUGGCAUGGCAGAACCUUCUCUAGAGAAAAUAGUUUUGAAUCUAAGAAAGGAAUAGCUUUAAUCUAGAAAAGGAAUAGGGCAAGAAAAGGAAUGUUUAUUCACCCAUAACUUAAAAAAAAAGGUAAUUUUAAUUGAAGGCUUCAAGGUAAAUUGUGCUCAAACUAUACAAAUUCUGCUAGAUGGUUAUAGUUCCUAUGUGAAGGUAACUUUAGAAAGUAGUGUUCACUUGACACUGAUGUGAGUAAUUCUUGCUGGAGGGGGCAAAAAGCUCAUGAAAUUUGAAUAAAGGAGGAGGAGAUGCAGUCAGAUUGUUGAUUGACCCUUCAGGGAAUGGCAUUUGCAUAGCUGUGACGUGAACCCUAGGUAUUGGCUUUUUUUUUCUUUUUUUUUGAGAAGGAGUCUCUGUUGCCCAGUCUGGAGUGCAGUGGCGCGAUCUUGGCUCACUGUAACCUCCGCCUCCCGGGUUCAAGCAAUUCUCCUGCCUCAGCCUCCUGAGUAGCUGGGAUUACAGGCACGUGCCACCACGCCCAGCUAAUUUUUGUAUUUUUAGUAGACACAGGGUUUCACCAUGUUGGUCAGGAUGGUCUCCAACUCCUCACCUUGUGAUCCGCCCACCUUGGCAUCCCAAAGUGCUGGGAUUACAGGGAUGAGCCAUUGCACCCGGCCUGUAUUGGCUUUUAAUUUUUAGGAAGUAACACAUGGCUGUGACCUGACAACUUCAUAGUGGCCGUAGGGUAGGGCACUGUUGUCAUUAUUCCUGUCACUGACAAUGUCAGCCCCACCUGCAGAUGUGGGAGAGUAGAUGGGGAAAGUAGUAGUGGAGAGUAGAGGUUUCCCUUACCAUCCUUUUAGGAAGUAGGCUUUUAAACAUGAUAUGUAAGUUUAUUUAGAAGAUGAAAAUUAAAGCUUGAAAUGUAAUAUGAGAGGAAUUGGCAGCGGAUGUGAGUCAGAUCCUCACCUGUCAGAGCAGGAAGUUAGUGAAAACUAAAGAUGAUUGGCUGGAUGCGGUGGCUUAUGCCUGUAAUCCCAGCACUUUGGGAGGCUGAGGUGGGUGGAUCACCUGAGGUCAGGAGUUUGAGACCAGCCUGGCCAACAUGGUGAAACUCUGUCUCUACUAAAAAUACAAAGAUUAGCCCAGCGUGGUGGUGGGCACCUGUAAUCCCAGCUACUCAGGAGGCUGAGGCAGGAGAAUCGUUUGAACCCAGGAAGUGGAGGUUGCAGUGAGCUGAGAUUGCAUCACUGUGCUCCAGCCUGGGCAACAGAGUCAGACUCCGUCUCCAGGAAAAAAAAAAAAAAAAAGACUAAAGAUGAUCAAAGAUUAGAAUUACGGAGGUGUCCUCAAGAAGAAUUGGAACAGAUAUGGUUAAAAGUGGCUGGAGGUGGGUGCAGUGGAUAUGGUGGUGCACACCUGUAAUCCCAGUGCUUUGGGAGGCUGAGGCAGGUGGAUCACUUGAGCCUAAGAGUUGGAGACCAGCCUGGGCAACAUGGCGAGACCUGGUCUCUACAAAAAAUACAAAAAUUAGCCGGGCAUAGUAGCACAUACCUGAAGUCCCAGCUACUCAGGAAGCUGAGUUGGGAGGAUUCUUUGACCCCAGGAGGUUGAGGCUGCAGUUAGCUGUUAUUAUAUCACUGCACUCCAGCCUAUGUGACAGUGUGAGACCCUAUCUCAAAAAAAAAGUGAUGUCGGGAGGCUGAGAGGAUGAGUGACUGGGGCAGGAGAUGAGUACUUUCCCUUUUAAGCCCAUAGCAUUUAAUUCCCUGGUGGUUCACUUCUUAUUUGGAUAACUAACAAAUUAUUUCAAAUGUGUGCCUAUAGGUGAGAGAAGCAAUGGUACAUGAGGAGGUAAGCAUUUGAUUUGUGGGAUUAUGAACAACUGUCCUACUCUCCUUUUGAUUCGGUGUCUCUGUAUUAGUGAUCUGACAAUUUAAAAAAUCAAGCAAGAGCAGGCUGGGCGCAGUGGCUCAUGCCUGUAAUCCCAGCACUUUGGGAGGCCGAGGCGGGCGGAUCACUUGAGGUCAGGAGUUGAAGACCAGCCUGGCCGACAUGGUGAAACCCUGUCCCCACUAAAAAUGCAAAAAUUAUCUGGGCGUGGUGGUGGGUGCCUGUAAUGCCAGCUACUUGGGAGGCUGAGCAGGAGAAUCGCUGGAACCCGGGAGUUGGAGAUUGCAAUGAGCCGAGAUUGCCCCACUACACUCUAGCCUGGGCAACAGAGUGAGACUCCUUGACAGGAAAAAAAAAAAAAAAAAGCAUAAAGAAAAGAUGUCAGACUUGUCUGUUUGGCCAGUUUGAGUUUAUUUCAGCAGGCAGGGCAGGAAGGUUCCUUGGCUUCCUAGAAUCCCCUGGAGUUGGAUGGGUGUGGUGGCUUACACCUGUAAUCCUAACAGACCAAGGCCCAGGUGGAAGGAUCAACUGAGGCCGUGAGUUUGAGAUUAGACUGGGCAACAUGGCAGGACUCUGUCUCUGCAAGAAAUAAAAAACCAGGUGUGGUGGCACGCGCCUGUUGUUCCAGCUACUCAGGAGGCUGAGGUGUGAGAUCACUUGAGCCUGAGAAGUUGAGGCUGCAGUGAGCUGAGAUUGCACCACUGCAUUCCAGCCUGGGCAACAGAGUGAGACCCUGUUUCUUUAAAAAUAAAAAUAAAAAUAAUCCCUUGGAUUUAAAGGGAGUGGGUUAGUCCUUGAAGAUUUGAUUUUCCAGAAUUCUUAUCAAGAAGAAGUUGAGGCGGGAGAAUCAUGAGGUCAGGAGUUCAAGACCAGCCUGGCCAACAUGGUGAAACCCCGUCUCUACUAAAAGACGUGGUGGUGCGUGCCUGUAAAUCCAGCUACUCAGGAGGCUGAGGCAGGAGAAUUGCUUGAACCGGGACCUGGGAGGCGGAGGUUGCAGUGAGCUGAGAUCGUGCCACUGCACUCCAGCCUGGGCUACAGAGCGAGUCUCCUUCUCAAAAAAAAAAAGAAAAGAAAAGAAAAAAAGGCCGGGCGCGGUGGCUCAUGCCUGUAAUCCCAGCACUUUGGGAGGCCGAGUUGGGCAGAUUGCAAGUUCAGGAAAUCGAGACCAUCCUGGCUAACAUGGUGAAACCCAUCUCUACUAAAAUUACAAAAAUUAGCCGGGUGUGGUGGCGCAUGCCUGUAAUCCCAGCUACUUGGGAGGCUGAGGCAGGAGAAUCGCUUGAACCCAGGAGGCGGAGGUUGCAGUAAGCCAAGAUCGCACCAUUGUACUCCAGCCUGGGCAACAAGAGCGAAACUCUGUCUCAAAAAAAAAAAGAAGAAAGAAACCAAAAAAGUAGAAAAUCAUAUUAUCAUAUACUUUAAUAGCACAACAAAAUUACAAAUUAAUAAUUGUGGGUAUUUUAGAAUAUAUAUGAAACAGCUAUUUGGUCAAAGAGGAAAUAAAAAUACUACAUCUGUUUAAGUAAAAAUAAGUACUCUGUAUCAAAUGAUCAACAUGAAUACAAAAUACCAAAGCUUGCCUAAAGCCUAGGCCGGGAACGAUGGCUCACGCCUGUAAUCCCAGCACUUUGGGAGGCCAAGGUGGGCGGAUCACCAGGUCAGGAGAUAGAGACCCGCCUGGCCAACAGGCCGAAACCCUGUCUCUACUAAAAAUACAAAAAAUUAGCCGGGCGUGGUGGCGGGUGUCUGUAAUCCCAGCUAUUUGGGAGGAUGAGGCAGGAGAAUCGCUUGAACCCGGGAGGUGGAGAUUGCAGUGGGCCGAGAUCGUGUCACUGCACUCCAGCCUGGGCGACAGAGUGAGACUCUGUCUCAAAAAAAAAAAAAAAAGCCUAUUCUGUAGACAAGUGUGUCUCACGUUUUUUGUCUCAAGACCCCUUCACACUCUUAAAAGUCACUGAAGACCCUAAACAGUUUUUGUUUUGUUUUGUUUUCCC
Molecule: long non-coding RNA, 6442 nt
Filed under: Homo sapiens (human)
Lineage: Eukaryota; Metazoa; Chordata; Mammalia; Primates; Hominidae
Description: non-protein coding lnc-ZNF8-5:2
Source: RNAcentral